This 429-nucleotide ribosomal RNA is filed under the name Bacteroidota bacterium. RNAcentral describes it as "Bacteroidetes bacterium partial 16S ribosomal RNA". It matches the Rfam family "Bacterial small subunit ribosomal RNA", at positions 355 to 776 of the family's 1533-position model. The record is from RNAcentral. Lineage: Bacteria; Pseudomonadati; Bacteroidota.
UAGGGAAUCUUCGGCAAUGGGGGGAACCCUGACCGAGCAACGCCGCGUGAGUGAAGAAGGUUUUCGGAUCGUAAAGCUCUGUUGUUAAGGAAGAACGAGUGUGAGAAUGGAAAGUUCAUGCUGUGACGGUACUUAACCAGAAAGGGACGGCUAACUACGUGCCAGCAGCCGCGGUAAUACGUAGGUCCCGAGCGUCGUCCGGAUUUAUUGGGCGUAAAGCGAGCGCAGGCGGUUAGAAAAGUCUGAAGUGAAAGGCAGUGGCUCAACCAUUGUAGGCUUUGGAAACUGUGUAACUUGAGUGCAGAAUGGGCGAGUGGAAUUCCAUGUGUAGCGGUGAAAUGCGUAGAUAUAUGGAGGAACACCGGUGGCGAAAGCGGCUCUCUGUUCUGUAACUGACGCUGAGGCUCGAAAGCGUGGGGAGCGAACAGG